GAUCCGUUACAAGUGAAACAAGGAAAGAAAAUAACUACCAUCCGGAAGUUAUCGGGGGAAGCUUCUCUCAGGUGCAUCUCUAAAACUCUAGAUUUCUAUUUAAUUCCUCUCCUUUACUCUACUCUCCUUCUCCCCCUUCUCUUGAUGCUUUUGUUGUGACUAUUGUGUUCUGUUUUUGUGUUUUUGUUGCUUUAGUGUAGUUGUGUGUUAAGGUUUUAGCUCAACUGUAUCAAAGCUUCAAGGUGAAGCUCUGAGUAGUUAGAAUCUAGAGCUAAAAUGAGGGUAUUUGGGUGUAGUAUUUAGCAGAGUAAUGGUGCUUAAAUGUUGAUGCCAAUGAAUGAAACAUUGUAGGGUAUUUAUAUAAAGUGAGAUGAGGGUGUGAGGUACGUGUGAGCAGAAUUGAGGGAGAUAUUCUCCUCUCUUAAGCAUCUGCCAUUUUGCAAAUUGGAUUAGGAUAAGAAUGAGGAAAAAAAGUUGUUAUAGGGCUUUGCAAUCAUUCCUGAUUUUGUAGGAUUACGAGCGAGGUUUGCGUGAGGUAAUGUUGAUAAAGGGUGAGGAUGAGGUGAGAUCAAAUUAUGUCGUGAUACAAUUGAAGUGUGUUUGUUGUAAGGGGAAUAUGAGUUUCAAUUAUGUGAGGUAUGUGUGACUUGUGGUUCCCAAUUGCUCAAUUGUAUGUAUGAUGGUAUGUAUGUGUGAUGUUAUGUAUGUACAAUGUUGUUGUUUUUUUGCACUUUGUUGAAUUAAUUUCUUUUUUUAUUUUGAAUUAGUUUGAAUGUGAUGAAUGGUUUGAAUGCAACAUGUAUUAAGAUGUAUGAUGUUCUCAUUUGUAAUUUGUGUUGUUUGUAAGGUAAUGUGUGAUAUGUAUAAGGUUAAGCAAUAAUGAAGAUGAUGCAACACGGCUGGUGAAGAGAUGCAGUAGUGAUGGUUAUGAAGUGUGCAUGAGGAAUGAAAGCAUGCACACACAAUGAUGUUGAUGCUGGAUGAACGUACAUGAUGGAACAUGGGUGGGUGGAAGAAUUCACACACUACACCUGAGAGGAGUACGAAGAGGAAUUUGCACAAAGUUGAUUUCAUUUCUUUUUCUCUUUUUUUUCUCAAUUUUUUUAGUAAAAGUUUGCACUUGUUUCUAAACAUAAUUUAGAGUGCACUCUAACUGUAUUUUUAUUUGACAUUAAUAAAACAAAAGUUUAUCUUAAAACUCUCACUUUUAUAUUUUGUAAAAUAAAAAUAAUAAUCUAAAACCAAAGGUUGUUUCAUGCUAGAAA
Molecule: long non-coding RNA, 1265 nt
Filed under: Lathyrus oleraceus (garden pea)
Lineage: Eukaryota; Viridiplantae; Streptophyta; Magnoliopsida; Fabales; Fabaceae
Description: Pisum sativum (pea) long non-coding RNA (PSAT_LNC003694)
Source: RNAcentral